Molecule: ribosomal RNA, 468 nt
Filed under: uncultured bacterium
Lineage: Bacteria
Description: partial 16S ribosomal RNA
Rfam family: Bacterial small subunit ribosomal RNA
Source: RNAcentral
GACGAACGCUGGCGGCGUGCUUAACACAUGCAAGUCGAACGGAAAGGCCCUGCUUUUGUGGGGUGCUCGAGUGGCGAACGGGUGAGUAACACGUGAGUAACCUGCCCUUGACUUUGGGAUAACUUCAGGAAACUGGGGCUAAUACCGGAUAGGAGCUCCUGCUGCAUGGUGGGGGUUGGAAAGUUUCGGCGGUUGGGGAUGGACUCGCGGCUUAUCAGCUUGUUGGUGGGGUAGUGGCUUACCAAGGCUUUGACGGGUAGCCGGCCUGAGAGGGUGACCGGCCACAUUGGGACUGAGGUACGGCCCAGACUCCUACGGGAGGCAGCAGUGGGGAAUAUUGCACAAUGGGCGGAGGCCUGAUGCAGCAACGCCGCGUGCGGGAUGACGGCCUUCGGGUUGUAAACCGCUUUCGCCUGUGACGAAGCGUGAGUGACGGUAAUGGGUAAAGAAGCACCGGCUAACUACGUG